GGAAUGGGAAUUGAGGAAGAGGAGGAAAAGGGAAUUGAGGCAAAGGAGGCCAAGGGAUUCCAUAGAAUGGUGGAAAGUAUGGGAGAAAAAACUUGGAGGAAUUGAAAGAACUUGCCAAUUCCUCCUCCUUCCUAUUUCCACAUAGGGUAAGAUUCUUCUUUGGUGGCCUGUAACUCAGAGCAUUCAUGCUGUAAAUACAGAUGUUAUCUUGUUUUGACUUGACAGAAAUCUCAUCUGCUGUGGUUCUUAAACCAGGAACAUUGCAACUUUUGGAUGAGCUCCCUAUCAAACUUGCUUGGCACAUUGACUUAAUUGACACACCACUUAAGCAGUUUACCCCAUCAACUGAAGGUAUUUCCAGCUUGUACACCCCAUACUUGUUUGUGGUUUUAUUCACUGAGAAAUUCAUAUCCUCUGAGGCUUUGGUUGAGCUCCCUCUGAACUUGCAUUGUAUCACAACAUCCACACCUGGUAAUAAAAUUGUUUUGUAAAACGUUAUACUACAUUCUUGAAUCUUACAAAUGCGAAAAACUUUCCACUUUGCAAAACAAACUUUCAAAAAGUUGUUGUGCAAAACGUUACCCUUAACUACAUAUUUUGCUACUGGUGACUAUGAAUGAGUUGAGUACCUGGGAGAAAGUAGCUGCUUCUGGAAAAUGUGUUGCUUGAACAAGUAUCACAGUAAACCGCUCCUA
This 695-nucleotide long non-coding RNA is filed under the name Fragaria vesca (wild strawberry). RNAcentral's name for it is "long non-coding RNA (FVES_LNC005614)". The record is from RNAcentral. Lineage: Eukaryota; Viridiplantae; Streptophyta; Magnoliopsida; Rosales; Rosaceae.